CCGUGCUAGACGGGGAGGUAGCGGUGCCCUGUAACCCGCAACCCGCUAUAGCGGGGUCGAAGCCUUCCUGAGGCCGUCUCUUUGUGGGGUCCGGCCGUUGCGGGCGGCGAAGAAGGUUGGGUCCGGCGCAACGUGCCCCCGUGAACCCCGCCAGGUCCGGGAGGAAGCAACGGUAAGCGGAUCGGUGCGUGUGCCGCCGGGGUGCCUGACUGGAGCAAGCUACAGCGGUAUCGCCCGGAAGGAGCGGUCGAGGGCGGGUGCACGG
RNAcentral lists this signal recognition particle RNA (265 nucleotides) under Candidatus Fermentithermobacillaceae bacterium. Its description in RNAcentral is "signal recognition particle sRNA large type". It matches the Rfam family "Bacterial large signal recognition particle RNA". From Rfam's summary of the family: The signal recognition particle (SRP) is a universally conserved ribonucleoprotein involved in the co-translational targeting of proteins to membranes. Archaeal SRP consists of a 7S RNA and homologues of the eukaryotic SRP19 and SRP54 proteins. The record is from RNAcentral. Lineage: Bacteria; Bacillati; Bacillota; Candidatus Fermentithermobacillia; Candidatus Fermentithermobacillales; Candidatus Fermentithermobacillaceae.